GAUGAACGCUGGCGGCGUGCCUAAUACAUGCAAGUCGAGCGAACGGAUGAGAAGCUUGCUUCUCUGAUGUUAGCGGCGGACGGGUGAGUAACACGUGGAUAACCUACCUAUAAGACUGGGAUAACUUCGGGAAACCGGAGCUAAUACCGGAUAAUAUUUUGAACCGCAUGGUUCAAUAGUGAAAGACGGUCUUGCUGUCACUUAUAGAUGGAUCCGCGCUGCAUUAGCUAGUUGGUAAGGUAACGGCUUACCAAGGCAACGAUGCAUAGCCGACCUGAGAGGGUGAUCGGCCACACUGGAACUGAGACACGGUCCAGACUCCUACGGGAGGCAGCAGUAGGGAAUCUUCCGCAAUGGGCGAAAGCCUGACGGAGCAACGCCGCGUGAGUGAUGAAGGUCUUCGGAUCGUAAAACUCUGUUAUUAGGGAAGAACAAAUGUGUAAGUAACUGUGCACAUCUUGACGGUACCUAAUCAGAAAGCCACGGCUAACUACGUG
RNAcentral lists this ribosomal RNA (497 nucleotides) under uncultured bacterium. Its description in RNAcentral is "partial 16S ribosomal RNA". It matches the Rfam family "Bacterial small subunit ribosomal RNA", at positions 28 to 507 of the family's 1533-position model. The record is from RNAcentral.